CGGUAGGUGCCGCUGUGGUGGGAAGGUAAAUGGCGUUUCCAGGCAUUCUGGAUUUUGUCAUGGUGUCCUGUUACGCCAGAAGCGGUUUAGUCAUACUGGUCACAUGACCCGGAAAGCUGUCUGUGAACAAACACCGGCUCCUUUGGCCUGAAAGCAAGAUGAAUGCUGCAACCCCAUAGUCGCCUUUGACUGGACUUAACCAUCCAGGGUCCUUUACCUUUAUCUUUUUUACUGUCCGCAAUAACUAUGUUCUACAGCUACUAUCAGAGCAACUGCUUCCUGGGAACCACAAGCAGGGAGAAUGUGGAUGCACUCAUGUUCCCUCUCUGGGAUGCCCAUAGGCACCUGGUGGGUCACUGUGAGAACAGGAUGCUGGGCCACAUGGAUCUAGCAUGGAUCUUCUUACGUUAUUAAGUAAAAAUGUACAAUAUGUCACACUGUUGCCACUCUAUGAUUGCAGCCAUAGUCAAAGUAACUGUUUUACAGAAGGCAUUCUAGUAUGACCCACAAAAAAUAAAGUAAUUGUGCAUUAUUUUAUGUUGUUUAGUGAAUCAGCCUGCAAGCUCCACUGCUGGGCAGUAUUUAAAUCUUUUAAAUUAAGAAGAGUGGCAGAUUAAACUGAUUUACUAUGCCAAGUUGGCGAAAUUAACUGGGAAAAUUUGGAACCAGCAAGACCAGACUUUCCUGAAAGACUGGAAGAAAUUUAUGAUAUAUUUGAAAGACAAUUUUAAUCAACUGACAUCACUUGUAGGGUUGCAAGAAGUUUUGUAAGGAGAACCAUAUGAAUUAUUGCAAAAGAGGACUAAGAAGGAGUUUAUUUAGGAUAUGGAUUUUAUAGCAAUAACUAUUAAAAUAAAAUGCAAAAUCAGAAAGAAAGUUAGAAUACCAUUAGUCGAGGUUGAUGGAAGUCUCUGGCUGUGAUAGCCAAACGUUUGUUAUGUUGUACAGGAUGAGAUGUUAUGUUUGGAAAAAAACCAAUAAAAAUUAUAUUAAAAAAAAUCUUUUAAAUUAACAAAAUAAGAUACUUUUACAUUCUUCUGUUUUCAGUGGAAGAGAAGCUGAACGUAUGAGCAUUUCUUUAAAGUCUUGCAGAAUAGAUGUCUAUAUGGUUUUGCCUUCAAUCUCUUCUUUGAAAUGUGAAUUCCUGUUUCAGAAAGCCUGUAACUUUUCAGUAUAGCAUUGGGGACAAGAGUUCAGCAUUCUUUUUAAAGAGUUUAGUUUCUACAACUGUUCAUGUCCGGAUAUCCUACAGCUAUAAAUAUUUAGUUGUGGAAAGUAGGCUUCCCAUUUUGGUAUUGUGUAUUUGAUGCACAGCUGAGAGGUAUUGGAACG
This 1332-nucleotide long non-coding RNA is filed under the name Podarcis lilfordi (Lilford's wall lizard). The record is from RNAcentral. Lineage: Eukaryota; Metazoa; Chordata; Lepidosauria; Squamata; Lacertidae.